Molecule: ribosomal RNA, 125 nt
Filed under: Myriospora smaragdula
Lineage: Eukaryota; Fungi; Ascomycota; Lecanoromycetes; Acarosporales; Acarosporaceae
Description: partial small subunit ribosomal RNA
Rfam family: Eukaryotic small subunit ribosomal RNA
Source: RNAcentral
CCUUUGUACACACCGCCCGUCGCUACUACCGAUUGAAUGGCUCAGUGAGGCGUUCGGACCGGCUCAGGGAGGUUGGCAACGACCACCCAGAGCUGGAAAGUUCGUCAAACUUGGUCAUUUAGAGG